GCACCGGUAGCCUAGUGGUUAGAGCGUCCACUUCGGAUGCGGAAGGUCGUGGGUUCGAUUCCCUGCUGAGCCA
Molecule: non-coding RNA, 73 nt
Organism: Potamilus streckersoni
Lineage: Eukaryota; Metazoa; Mollusca; Bivalvia; Unionida; Unionidae
Source: the annotation of a GenBank genome assembly